Molecule: non-coding RNA, 112 nt
Filed under: Cebus imitator (Panamanian white-faced capuchin)
Lineage: Eukaryota; Metazoa; Chordata; Mammalia; Primates; Cebidae
Source: RNAcentral
GUGUUGUAUGAAAGGAGAGAAGGUUAGCACUCCCCUUGACAAGGAUGGAAGAGGCCCUCGGGCCUGACAACACGCAUACGGUUAAGGAAAAAAAAAAUGAUAAGCAACUUCA